This 503-nucleotide ribosomal RNA is filed under the name uncultured bacterium. RNAcentral's name for it is "partial 16S ribosomal RNA". It matches the Rfam family "Bacterial small subunit ribosomal RNA", at positions 30 to 523 of the family's 1533-position model. The record is from RNAcentral.
AUUGAACGCUGGCGGCAGGCUUAACACAUGCAAGUUGAGCGGGGUGAUGGUGCUUGCACUAUCACUUAGCGGCGGACGGGUGAGUAAUGCUUAGGAAUCUGCCUAUUAGUGGGGGACAACAUCUCGAAAGGGAUGCUAAUACCGCAUACGUCCUACGGGAGAAAGCAGGGGAUCACUUGUGACCUUGCGCUAAUAGAUGAGCCUAAGUCGGAUUAGCUAGUUGGGGGGGUAAAGGCCUACCAAGGCGACGAUCUGUAGCGGGUCUGAGAGGAUGAUCCGCCACACUGGGACUGAGACACGGCCCAGACUCCUACGGGAGGCAGCAGUGGGGAAUAUUGGACAAUGGGGGGAACCCUGAUCCAGCCAUGCCGCGUGUGUGAAGAAGGCCUUAUGGUUGUAAAGCACUUUAAGCGAGGAGGAGGCUCUUUUGGUUAAUACCCAAGAUGAGUGGACGUUACUCGCAGAAUAAGCACCGGCUAACUCUGUGCCAGCCGCCGCGGUAA